Molecule: non-coding RNA, 54 nt
Organism: Salmo salar (Atlantic salmon)
Lineage: Eukaryota; Metazoa; Chordata; Actinopteri; Salmoniformes; Salmonidae
Source: Rfam
AAUGCACCAAUUUGUAAGUCGCUCUGGAUAAGAUCGUCUGCUAAAUGACUUAAA